AAUGGGGGAUAACGUAGCGAAAGUUACGCUAAUACCGCAUAUGCCCUGAGGGGGAAAGUGGGGGAUCGCAAGACCUCACGUUUUCGGAGCGGCCGAUAUCAGAUUAGCUAGUUGGUGGGGUAAAGGCCUACCAAGGCGACGAUCUGUAGCUGGUCUGAGAGGACGACCAGCCACACUGGGACUGAGACACGGCCCAGACUCCUACGGGAGGCAGCAGUGGGGAAUUUUGGACAAUGGGGGCAACCCUGAUCCAGCCAUGCCGCGUGAGUGAAGAAGGCCUUCGGGUUGUAAAGCUCUUUCGGACAGAAAGAAAUCCUAUCCGCUAACACCGGGUGGGGAUGACGGUACUGUAAGAAGAAGCACCGGCUAACUACGUGCCAGCAGCCGCGGUAAUACGUAGGGUGCGAGCGUUAAUCGGAAUUACUGGGCGUAAAGCGUGCGCAGGCGGUUUAUUAAGACAGAUGUGAAAUCCCCGGGCUUAACCUGGGAACUGCAUUUGUGACUGGUAGGCUAGAGUGUGGCAGAGGGGGGUAGAAUUCCA
This 541-nucleotide ribosomal RNA is filed under the name uncultured Gallionellaceae bacterium. Its description in RNAcentral is "bacterial SSU rRNA". It matches the Rfam family "Bacterial small subunit ribosomal RNA", at positions 135 to 671 of the family's 1533-position model. Lineage: Bacteria; Pseudomonadati; Pseudomonadota; Betaproteobacteria; Nitrosomonadales; Gallionellaceae. The record is from RNAcentral.